This 898-nucleotide ribosomal RNA is filed under the name Colletotrichum scovillei. RNAcentral describes it as "LSU rRNA". It matches the Rfam family "Eukaryotic large subunit ribosomal RNA", at positions 39 to 964 of the family's 3401-position model. The record is from RNAcentral. Lineage: Eukaryota; Fungi; Ascomycota; Sordariomycetes; Glomerellales; Glomerellaceae.
CAUAUCAAUAAGCGAGAAAAGAACCCAACAGGGAUUGCCCCAGUUAACGGCGAAGUGAAGCGGCAACAGCUCAAAUUUGAAAUCUGGCCCCAGGCCCGAGUUGUAAUUUGCAGAGGAUGCUUUUGGCGCGGUGCCUUCCGAGUUCCCUGGAACGGGACGCCAUAGAGGGUGAGAGCCCCGUACGGUUGGACACCAAGCCUUUGUAAAGCUCCUUCGACGAGUCGAGUAGUUUGGGAAUGCUGCUCUAAAUGGGAGGUACAUUUCUUCUAAAGCUAAAUAUUGGCCAGAGACCGAUAGCGCACAAGUAGAGUGAUCGAAAGAUGAAAAGCACUUUGAAAAGAGGGUUAAACAGCACGUGAAAUUGUUAAAAGGGAAGCGCUUGUGACCAGACUUGCGUCCGGUGAAUCACCCAGCUCUCGCGGCUGGGGCACUUCGCCGGCACAGGCCAGCAUCAGCUUGCCGUCGGGGACAAAAGCUUCAGGAACGUGGCUCCUCUCGGGGAGUGUUAUAGCCUGUUGCACAAUACCCUUCGGCGGGCUGAGGUACGCGCUCCGCAAGGAUGCUGGCGUAAUGGUCAUCAGCGACCCGUCUUGAAACACGGACCAAGGAGUCAACCUUAUGUGCGAGUGUUUGGGUGUCAAACCCCUACGCGUAAUGAAAGUGAACGCAGGUGAGAGCUUCGGCGCAUCAUCGACCGAUCCUGAUGUUCUCGGAUGGAUUUGAGUAAGAGCAUAUAGGGUUGGACCCGAAAGAAGGUGAACUAUGCGUGUGUAGGGUGAAGCCAGAGGAAACUCUGGUGGAGGCUCGCAGCGGGUUCUGACGGUGCAAAUCGAUUCGUCAAACAUGCGCAUGGGGGGCGAAAGACUAAUCGAACCUUCUAGUAGCUGGUUUCCGCCGA